GUGAAAAUUCCCCUGUCUCAGAUCACAGAUGUUAUGACCUAACAGUGACCUGAAGCACUCCUGCAGCAGAUGAAAACAGGGAGCACUUCAAACUGUUAGCUAUCCUGGGGUGCUGGACACAGCAUCCUUAGGCACUUAAUGGAGAGAGGUUUUUUCCCCAGGGCAAGCCACUGUCCAGCAGUCCUGAUAGUGGGAAGCUCAAAUCGCUGUUGUGCUCUUGAAGUCAGCCCUGAGCAGCAUGAUGGCAAAAUUGCAAGAGAGUUUCUGUGCCAGAUGGGACCUGACUGAACAUAUAAUUGAAACAGUGAGACCACCUGGAUACACAGGGCUGUCAACUAUAAAAAAGGAAUACUCCUAAUAGUUACUGGUAGAAACAGACCAAACCAGUUUUGCAGGCAGGAUGAUGAGUGAUAAAGAGGGUUUUGUUCCUUUAUGGCCUGUGCAAAUUCUAAUUGUGGCUGUAUGUUAUUGCUUCCUCUGGAAAGAUGAUUCUAUGGGCUCCUGGCAUAGCUUCUUGUUCUCCGUUUAUCCAAACACCACACAGCCAUCAUGACAUAGCUUCCAUUUUCUCUUUUGAUUUGAAGAAGUUAAGCAUAAUCCACCCCUUAUUAAUAAUACAGUCCUCUGAGGCAUCAUUUCCCAUUCAUUUCUUCUUUUACAGGGCCCUAAAAGUUGUUGUAAAGGAAAUACAUUUUGGAACACCUAUGUAGGUAUUAUAAUAUAUAUAUUUUUAAAAAAAGUAGAUAAAUUGGGCCCAUAUGGCUUAUUGUGAUUAAAAGCUUCACUGCUUAUGGUGAAAUUCUAGAGCUACACAUAUUGCUGUUAUUAGCAUAUAAAUGCUCUUAUCUGCCAGAGUUGGACAUAAUCAUGAAAUAUGCCAUCAUUCCAGGAUGAGGCUGGGAGCUGCCUGGGGUCCCAUAACAUUAUGAGAAUGAAGUAGGAACACUAUUGUCAUGGUCGAGGAAGCACAUACAUUUCCACCCCCUCUUUUUUGAAACUGGUAAUUUUACAGCAAAAACGGCUUACAUUUUAGGUGAAAUUUCUGAGAUUUAUUUUAAUGUCAAAGGUGACUCCUUUUUUCCCUAGAUCAGUGACUUUAAUAUUGAUUUUUUUUUUUUUUGAGUAGCAGAAAAAUCUGUUAAAACUUUAAUUAUUUUAGAUACUUUGCAUGUGCAUGGAAGACAAAUAGCUUAAUAAUGGUCAUUUUUUUCAGAGACUUAAUCUAAAUGUAAAAUACCUCUGGAAAACAUUAAGAAAUUUAUACCAUAUUUUAGCUGUGUGGUGAGAUUUUCUCUGGAGCUUUUUAGGAUCCACUUUGUUCUUAUUUGCUCCUUAUUUGUGUGGUUUUGGCUACUGUUGCACAAGGAUGUCUGGCUGGGACCAUUUGCAGGGCUUUGCUGGGAGGCAGGAUUUGAAAUGGUCUUUCAGCCUGCCUCUUUCUUUGUCUGUAAAUAUGUGGAACAUAGCUGAGAUCACCCUUUCUAUGGACUGGGAGAAAGGUAAAAUAGGAGAAGCAUCCUCCCACUUAGCUUUAUUUUCCAGAAUCUCUGUGAAUCUCUCUGCCCAUAUUAUUUCAAUAUCAGGCCUUAUACAGAGAGCUAAACUGCACUAGUAUGUAUAAAGAGUUAAUUAAAAAUAUAUGUAUUAACUAAACUAAACUUCUCUUAAACUCCAAGUUUCUUUCAUUUUAUGGUUAGAAUAAAACCUUUUACUGUGCAUGUUUUUGUUGUCACCAAAGACUUAUUAUGCAAUGACAGAGGCUGUUUUUGUAGGACAUGUGUACUGUGUGAAAUUUCAAUAGAAAUCUUAGAAGAGAGUCCGAUCAUGAAAGGUUUCCACUUGGCUUGCAGAUAAAACUGUCUAUAAAUCAGAUAAGCAUUCAACCUUUGAAUCCUUAUCUAAGAAGAAGCUUUUGAGGUUCUGACCUCACAAUUUUUCUAAGGGGAAGAGAUAAUAUCAGUUCCAUCCCUUGCCAGUCCCAGAUCAGUCAAUGUCAAGCCUGGAUUUAUUUUCAUCAAGUUAUGGAGAAUUGCUUGAUAGUCUGCAUCCUGUUCAUUAUUUUUGACCCACACUAUUGAGAUAGAAUCCAUAUGUCUAUUAAUUCCACAAGAAAUCUGACUGAAAUAUAAGGUAAGUAAUUUAUGAGCUCUGGCUAUAUUAUGGGAACAUUUCUGUAAGAAAAUACAGUAUUCUAAAAAAAAUUGCUCACUUACCUUCAUAAUCAUAAAUUAUCUCAUACCUAAUUACAAACAGACAGAAUGAAUAAUUGUCUUCAUUGAGAACUGUUUGACACUGAGAAUAUACUGCUUAUUUUAUAAACUUCUUAAUGCACAGCCCAUAAAUAUGUCACAGCUAAGGAGUACUGCAUCUUUAAGUAUAUUAAAUGCAGUCUUGUGUAACCAAACAUAAUAGGAUUUUUAAAAGAAUUAUAACCAAAGAAUUUAACAAACAACUUUUUAAACUUUCUACAUGUGUGAAGCUUCUGUACAGAACAAUUUAAAUUACACAUCCAAAAAGAAACUUGACUACAUUGAAAAACAAUACUCUUCUUCUUGCUUCAUGUGUAUUUAGAAGUAAUAUGAGAGUUCCAGUGAAAAUUGCUUUAAUUAAUUCAUUUAAAAAGGACCUGUUAAUAGGUUGUAGAGCAAUACCAAAGUCAAAGAAAUGUCAGCAAUGAGAAUUUCUUGGUUUCAGUGAAGGCCAUGCUGACACCUUUAUAGCUGCUUCAGGUCUGAACCUGAUAUAUAUUGUAUUAAUUUGCAAUAGGCUUAAUUUUUAUCAAACAUUCUCAUCUUUUAUAUUGAAAAUCUUCUAAUUCAAACCUUCAUUUUGAGUUGAUAUGCAUUCAGUAGUAAUGCCCCUUUUUGAAGGGAUGGAAUUUAAUAUAAAAGAUGUAGUGAAUAAACUGCGUAGGAUAUGUCAAACAUACUAAUCCAAGCAGCUGAACAACUGUGGAGGAGGCAAAGGAACAGAAAGAGAGGUAAUAAAAGAAAGAAAUGUUAAAUUUAUUGGGAUAAACAAAGGAAUCCUGUACUUCAAGUACUAACAAUUCAGAUUAAAUGAUGUAUUCAAAUACAUUCUGUUUUAAGCACUCGGGCAUGGCUUGAUUUCUACUCUGCUUUUUUUUGGAAGACAACCAGUCUUCAUCAAAAUUGCAUUCUUCCAGUAAUUAAUUUUUUGCUAAUUUCUAAUCUAAAUUUGUCAAACUUCACUGUUUGGCUGCCUGCAGCUAUAAACCAGCAAUUUUGGGAGAGAAGUCCCUUCUUUUCUGUUUCAUAUGCAUUCAAAACACUGUGAAAAAAUUUUCACAACUGGCAUUAGGUUUUCUUUGUGGUUCCAAUCCAUACGUGAAGCAGAUGUGUGCAGUUGUGAAACCCAAUAAGUAGAGAAAUGAUGUAUAAGUAAAAUAUAUUUCUUUCCCAGAAUAAUACAAUUCCACACAAAAUAGUGAUAUAAUAUGUUAAAAUAAUCAAUUUACAUGCUUACAGUUGUGCCUUUUCUAAAUAAUUAUGUAACCAGAUUUGGACUACAUUUCAGAUACAAACAGAAAAUUUCAAUUUAAUCAAAAAUGUAUUUGAUUUAAGUUACCUUUGAAUAACAGUUGGGAGGAAACAAAGGAGAUUCCUGAAAACAGUGAAGCAUGUAAUUUUCUCAUACUUGAAGGGAUAAUUUACUUUGGAGAUGCAAGCUAUGUUUUUUUUUACAUUUUUAUACCACAAAAUUCCUUAACAUUUCAUUCUGAAGCCAAAACAACAUUUCAUUUAAAAUGUGAUAUGAUCAAAAAGAAGGUAAAAUAAAAGAAUCAAAUGAAACAACUCUAGGAGCUCAGCAGGCAUGAAGUAGAAUGGUGGAGUUAAACAGAUAUUGCAUAGAAUGGUGUUGUCUGUGGUUCUUUUUAUUUUUUUUUCAUCAUUGUUAAAAACUCUAAGUUCUGUUUCAAUUGACUUGACAGAAGAUGCAGGAGAGGUUGUUCUAAAAGAACCAAAACCAAAAAUCAAACCCAAAUAAUCACUGUACAAAGUCUUUGCAGUGACUAUACUGUAAUUCUGUUUUCUAUUUUAUUAUCUGAAAAUUUAGGCCCCCCUCCAUUGGACAUCUUAAAUCUUUAUGAGUAUUAGUAAGAUAUUUGCUUUAAGAAAGUGCUGAAGUCUAGUGUGCUGUGACCUUAAUCUGCACCCAGAACUUCAGGGUCCAUUUUGAAGACUUUCAGAAGGAGGGAAAUAAAUUACAGUGGUACACCCAAGUGUAGGCUAUGUAAGAAUCCAGUUGAUUGUGUCAAAUGUGUUGAGCAUCUGGUAGCUCCUGUGAACCAUGAGCUAUGUUUCUAAAAACACUGUCAGUUGCUAAAGUUGAGACAGCCUUGUUUAAAAAACAAAAUAAACCAAAUCAAUUAAAAUUAGAUUUUUUGUGCUUUUGUGACACAGCCUACCACGCACCAGGCAUUACAAGAGAGAUUAUUAUAAUGAUUUAAUACAGUAAAUAACAUACUGAAGGAAAAAAUAUACAAAUAUACCUUCAUCUUCCUUCUGAGCCCUGCAAUUCUGUCAUUGUAAGAGUUGAUAGAUUAUGGCAAAAUAGGUGUGGUGUUGAUUGACCAAAAAUGUUUCUAUUUUUCCACCAAAAUGCCAAAGCCAGAGAGGCAACAUUUUGUCUGCUUGCAUCUCACUUUCUAGCCUGUGAGAUUUCUCAGUUAGAUAUAUGGAAAAUGAGAAAGUCUGGUGGUGACACACAGCUGGACUCCAUGGCUGUGACAAAAGACAGUUCUGAUUUGAAGUUCUUUAUGCCUGGCUGAAGCUGAAAGAGAAUGGUGCUGGCUAAUGUCUGCUGCCAGAUGGCUUUCUGCCUGUUUCAAGUGAGAGCUCAGAUGCUAGACCACAUUUUAAAAUGAUACUUCUGGUUAUGAUCAGUUUUGGAUUCAUAUGGCAGUGUUCUUUAAUGCAUCUCAAUCGUUAUAUAUUUUAUUUCCAUGAAAACCUGUUUCACUUUAGUUACAAAAGGGUCACAUCCAGUAAGGCAUCAUAGCAUUCAAAUGCCACUGCUGUUUUGGGGUGUUUUAAAUUAUUUCUCAUUUCAUAACUUCUUGAAUUGUGUAUUUGCAAAACAACGCCCCCUUUAAAAUGUUUGAACUGGAAAGAUCAGAGAUAAAGCCUAACUCUUCUCAACAUGAUUUAAGCAGAGUGAUCCGUGAGCUCUACUGGAUUCAAUUGACUGUGGUGGUGCUCUACCUGGAAGUGAUUAGUAUAUUGUUUAUAGUAAUGGUGGGUAAAGAGGGAAACAUGCAACUUUCCCUGUGUCUCCAAAGGGCUGUGGAAUUCAGCCAGGCCAUUGCCUGAGCUGUUUAUCUAUCUGCCUGCCUCCUUUGAAGUACUAAGUCAUAGAAGAAACAAGAAUUGCACUCUUUGUAGGUUAUAGUUCUCAUUGGCCUAUUUUUAUUUGAAUAAAAGAUGUGAUAUCCAUAAACACCACAUUCUACCAAAUACUAAUUCUCUCAUCAGGCCACUAUGUAUCUCAUAUCUGUACUGAAAGGUUCACUGUAAUAUUUCCCUGAUAUUUCUUAUGCCAGUGUUAAGCAUUGGAGAUGUCAAGGCAAAAUAAACCAUAUGUUAUAGGCUAUCAAGAAGCAAAUCAAACAUAUGCUCAAGAUAAGGUUUGUCAAGGAAGAGAAUAUCAACUGUUUUCUGAGCUUGAUAAAAAUUCUACUUUAGCACUGAAUAUACUAUUUUCCCAGAGAUGACAGGAAUUCUCUUGUCAACAAUAAAUAUCAAUGAAAUGUUUCUUCUACAAAUCUGGUGUCUAAUUUUAUAUCACAGCAUCUCUUUAUUUCUUAAAGUGUCAGGCCUAUUUAAGUAAGUGGAUGCUCACAAAUGAAGGUAGCAUUUGUGGUGGUGUGUUCCAAAGGUUUGUGAUGAUCAGUUUCAUGUUUGCCUCUGCAAACAAGAGUGAACUCCAUCUUCAUGGCUGACACAGUUUUUGGCUCAUAAAUGUAUUGACUGAUCUGAGAUCAACUGGAGUAGAAAGUCAGCAAUAUAAAGCUGUAGGAUUUGGGUAAAACAGAUAUGGAUAAAUGAAAUAAAUGGUAAAAGGAAACAUCCUUUUAGACAUCUCUUUCUUUGAAUUCUGUUUGCAUUGGUACAAAGAAGAGCACGUGGAUGAUAAGCUCCAUUAUCUAAAAGAGAGACCUGUUCAUCUUUAGCUUCUUAUGAGAAUGACACAUGAAGUGGGCACAGCACACACUGAAAAGGAGCAAAUUUCUAAAAACAGAACUGGCAAGGGUAUGAGAAUUUCAGGGACCAAAUUCUCCUGAGAGGGCAGCGAAUCCAAAUCUAGCACUUUUGGGAAUACUACAGGUGGCAAAUUAGGCUGAGAAGAAAUAUGUGAAAGUACUAUCCAUUCUCUGGAAAGUGGUUUACUCUUUGACAAUGGAUUUAGGCACAGUUGUACUGGAGCAGAGAAAAUGCAAAAAACCCCCUGUGUACUGAGACUUGCUUAUUCACUGGAAUAAGUUUAAUUCCUCCUAGCCCUGCUUAUGCAUUUUAUUAAUGAAAAAUAUUCAUAUACACCAGUUCUAUAAAUGAUGGGAUAGCUAGGAUGUGGGCCAUAUGAAUAUUGUCUGCUGAUGGCUUUUGGUGCUUUUUGGACUGCUGGGCCAAGGUGGCUCAGUGUCCCUGUAUACUGAGUGUCACAAGUGCAGCAGUCACCUACAAAACUUCCUUUGGAGCAGUUACACAGGAUGCUUAUGAUCUUUACCAAUUCCUGCUCCAUAUGUAUGAUAUACCCCUGCAUUGUUGGACAUGCAGGUCUUGGAAUCCAGAUGAGUGCAAGUAUCCUGUGUCUGUAUGGGCAGAAAGGUUGGCAAUGGUUUGUGGUAAAAGAGAAAAUUUGAGAAGUGUCAUAAAAGUCUUUGGUUUGGUUUGGUGAACUUGUCUUUAUUUUGAUUGUUUUGGAGCCUCAGCUGGAAAAAGAAAACCAGUUUCUUUUAAGCUACAUCCCAAGCAGAUCUGAAGACAAAGGUAGAGAGCUGGUGGAUGUAGGUAAUCUAUGUUUAUUGUGAAACUUUAAUUUAUAAAUAAAUGGGUCUAUAAAUUAGCAUUGCUUAUAUAUUGUAGUUUCUCAUAUACAUCUCAGGUGAUCUCAGACAUCAAUUUAAACAAUCGAGGGCUUAACAGAAGAGGAAAUCAAAAGAUAUUGGUUGAUUUCUCCUUGUAUGCCAACACAGAAGUAUCUGUUCAUAUUGCUUUUUGAAUAUAGGGGACAUUCUUUGUAAUGCACUAAAAAAAAAAAUUAAAACUUAUUGGGUUGUACAAAUUUUUCAUUAAAAAAUUGUACUAAUUUGUGCCAAUUUCCUAAUACAAAGCUAUACUACACUAUUAUAGUUCUCUAAAAAUAGGAAAAAUUACUUUUUAAUGUACUAGCUGUUCUAGAAGUGCCAUAUAUUUUAGCAAUAGUUAAUACAUUUUUGUUUUAAUGAAUACUGUAUCAUGUGUAUCCUGUAAAAUUUGCCUGCAAAAUAACCACAUAUCCAGCAAAGAAUCCUGCAUAGUUUUUACUAUUCCAAAAAACACAAUGGAAGAAGAACCAUCUGUGUUGAGGGACAUCCAGGUGGAAAGCAACUCUUGCAAAGGCAAGGAUUUUAGCAACAUCCAUUUAGAAUCUACUUCAUAGACUCUGAGAAUUUUCAUGUGUUUACAGCUGGAAAUAAAUCUACUGGAAAGAA
This is a non-coding RNA of Taeniopygia guttata (zebra finch), 7714 nucleotides long. NCBI's taxonomy places the organism in Eukaryota, Metazoa, Chordata, Aves, Passeriformes, Estrildidae. The record is from RefSeq and is a predicted model, not a curated record.